GUUGAGAUGGCCGAGUUUUAGGCGGUAGAUUGUAAAUCUAUUAACGGGUUUUUCUCUCUCAACA
RNAcentral lists this transfer RNA (64 nucleotides) under Acmaeodera sp. NCS-2009. Its description in RNAcentral is "tRNA-Tyr". It matches the Rfam family "tRNA". Rfam says of the family: Transfer RNA (tRNA) molecules are approximately 80 nucleotides in length. Their secondary structure includes four short double-helical elements and three loops (D, anti-codon, and T loops). Lineage: Eukaryota; Metazoa; Arthropoda; Insecta; Coleoptera; Buprestidae. The record is from RNAcentral.